AAUCAACGCUGGCGGCGUGCCUCAGACAUGCAAGUCGAACGCGAAAGUUUCCUUCGGGAGAUGAGUAGAGUGGCGCACGGGUGAGUAACACGUGAGUAAUUUACCUUCGGGUGGGGAAUACUAACCGGAAACGGUUGUUAAUACCGCAUAAUGCAGCGGCAUCAAUGAUGACAGUUGUUAAAGCGGGGGAUUGGAGCAAUCCGACCUCGCGCCUGAAGAGAAGCUCGCGGCAGAUUAGCUAGUUGGUAAGGUAAUGGCCUUACCAAGGCGACGAUCUGUAACCGGCCUGAGGAGGGCGGGUCGGUCACACUGACACUGAAUAACGGGUCAGACUCCUACGGGAGGCAGCAGUCGGGAAUUUUGGGCAA
This 368-nucleotide ribosomal RNA is filed under the name uncultured bacterium. RNAcentral describes it as "bacterial SSU rRNA". It matches the Rfam family "Bacterial small subunit ribosomal RNA", at positions 32 to 371 of the family's 1533-position model. The record is from RNAcentral.